Molecule: non-coding RNA, 7079 nt
Organism: Zonotrichia albicollis (white-throated sparrow)
Lineage: Eukaryota; Metazoa; Chordata; Aves; Passeriformes; Passerellidae
Source: RefSeq, a predicted model, not a curated record
CGGGAUAAAAUACGUAUUUUUCUUUUCAAAUUAAAGGGUACAGCUGUUAUAAAUAGGGGGUAAGAAUGCCACUGCAGUGUUAAAAAAUGUUUGGGCGCACCUAUGCGCACGGACACCCUUCUGCCCGCUCAGCGGUACCGCGGGAGGCCCCUCAGCCCCGCGGCUGCAGCGGCCCGGCUCUCUCUGCUCUCUUACCUGGCAGCAUUUCCUGAUACCAUCAGAGACCACAGGUGAAGUGUUGAAAUAAAGCAAGAGUUUUCUCCUGAUGAGAUGUCCAGACAGACACGACUAAGGAGAUGAGCAGCUACCCAUAUCCUACGUAUAAGGCAUGGUCUGUUUUCAGAGACAUAGCAAACCAAAAAUACACAAAGUCCAGAAGUCAAGAGCCAGAAGCAAGGGAUUCUGUGACUGUUGUGCUCUGAGAAGCAAGAGGCAGCUUUGCUCUGCACCUGGGCUGGAGCUGCUCCUCCCCUCAGCAGAGAGCAGGACACGAGGGUGCUGCUGCACGUGUGGAACAAGUGGCAAUCUGCAGUGCUGAGAGGAGCACAAGCUGAAAACAUGGGUUCUGUGGUUUCAUCCUGUAUUGCAACCUUCCAGCCGAAGACCAUAUAAGUCAAAACAGAAGGAACAGAAAGCCUCAUUUAUCUGAGGCAGCAUCUUCUUGCAGUCAUCAUCCUCCAACUGCUUUGAUGUUACAAGAGAUUACAUUGAGGUAUGAUUAGAAGGGAUGCUGGAAUUAUGCCCACCUCUCCUCCCAGGAUUUUUAAGAGAGAUAUCCUCAAGAACUGUACUUGAAGCAACAGGAACAAAAGUCUGCUCAUAUGAUAAAGAGGUAAGAGAUCCAAAAAUUAUGAAUUAAGAUUUUAAAAUUGCUUUACAUGACAUAGAAUUUAUAAAUUCAUUUAACAAGAGGAAUGAGAGAUGUUUGUAUAUAGACUUUUGCACCAGCUGAUGACCAGAUUUCAAAAACAUAAUAUGAAAGAUGCCAAGCAUGAAAUCCUAACCUACUAUUAAAUAAUUGCACCGAAAGACCUGUCAUUUAUUUCACAGUGAACAGUUAUUUAUUCCAGCUCCCAGCAGGACUCUGAUUAACAAAAUUUCUAAUUUGCUCUGAAUUUAUUCCACAAGUACCUAAAAAGGAGGAAGCAUUGGGAAGAAUUUUGCAUCACUGUAGGUUUUCUUCUCUAAAGAAACUGGAACAUUUUCCUUGUAAGCAGCAGCAGCUAGUUUUGCAUUCCAACAAAGAGCAGGAGAGAAACUCUACCUCCUUAAAAUAUGCUGUCUUGCAUGUAAGUUAAUUUAUGAUUUAUUACAGUGAAACUAUUUACGACCUUAAUAAGAAUAUUUACAAGCUUUGACUCAGAGCUUUGCCUCCUCUGUUAGACACUAGCAUGUCCUCCCUUCCUGCUGGAGCUGUGGUGAUUCCAUACAGGAAUGAAUAUAAAACUCAGAUGGUGACAGGGAGCCAAGGGAUUCCUUUCUGAAGAACUUGUGUCUAUUGCCUCUUGUCCUGUCCCCAUGCAUGCCUAAGAAGAAAACACCUCCCUCUCCACCACAGCUGCGCUUUCAAGUACUGGAAGAGUGAAAGUGCAUCACUUGGGCUUCUUCUCUCAGGCUGAAAAAACUCCAAUCCUCUGAUUUUCCUCUCAGGGAUUUUUUCACAUGCUGUUCCACUAUCCUACUGUCUUACUUGGGAAUCUAAAAUACCUAAAGUAAUAAAUUGAACAACAUUGCUUCUGAAUGUGAGUAUUUAGUAAAUAAAGAAGAACAAAUUCAAAGCCUUCAAAAGCCAUGUUCUUUUAACAUACUCAACUCCCUAAAGCAACUUAAAAUUAUUCAUUUACUAGGUCACCUUCCUUAAAGAAAACAAAAAAUCAAAUCUUCACAGUAAACAGCUUUAAAUCUUGUCAAGUCACAAAUGGGUCAGACAUGAGCUGUGUGUUAAUACACAUGUGCAGAGGAGAGAAGGGAAGAAUGAAAGGCUGCAUUCAAAGGGAACUGGCUUCUGAAUUAUUGUUAAAGAUUUACGGUCCAUGAAGACACCAUGUGGACUGAUGCAGAAUAACAGGCUUAGAAGUACAAUCAACACUAGAGUUAGAGUGGGCUUUUUUUUUGCGGUCACUUGGAUGCAGAAAUAAACUGUCUAUAUUUUGAAGGAAGUGAGAAACAACCAAAUAGAGAAGAGUGAGUUAUGAGAUCGUUGGGGUAUUGUACUGCAGUAUUGCAGUUAAAAUAAUAUAUCCUUGCCUUGUCCUUUCUUUGCAUGCCUGGAUACACAUUUGUAGUCUAAUAGCUGCAUGCUAUUUUGGUCACUGUUGGAUGCAGACUUUCUCAACCACAGCAUAUUAGGUUGUAUUUAAUAUUUUAAUUACACUUCAGUUUUAUAACAGCUUAUGUAAUCGAUUUGAAUCUGAUUUUGAGAAUAGCUGUUUUACUUAAGUUAUGAAAAGUUGUCUCCUACAGAGCAUGAAGUAGAUAACCCUGAAGGGAAACAUGCCCCACCUUUUUAAUAAAGAUUGACAGAAAUUAGCUGCUUUGAAUCUUUAUGUUUUUAAAUGAACCAGCAAAAACCAGAAAUAGUUAUAGAAGUCACCAUAAAGCUUUUCUUCAGCCAAUAGCCACAGCAUUAUGUUUGUUCAAAAUAGUGAAAACUUUGCAAAACAUGAUUACAUAUAAGAAUUGAGCUUUCAUCUGAGAUCUCAUAAUGUGGCAAUUCAUUAAUUCCUUUGCCAUUAAAUACACUUUAAAACACAAUAUUAAAAUGUGAAUGAGGAGCAGGCAACUCUUCAUGUUAAGUGCAGAAAGUUGCAAAGAAUGUCACAGCAACAGAUCAAAAUAAAUGGAUGCUCCAAAAUGCAGAAAAUGUCUGGAGGUUCCCACACAGCCCCUAAGAAGCUUAGCAGCUCUCCCACUCCUAUUUGCAGGGAAAAUCAGGAUGACAGAUACAUAUGAUCAGGUACAGAAUAAAAAACAUAUAAUAAAAUUAAAAAAUAAAUAAAAGACACUGGAAGAAGAAUAAUUUUUUUUACAGAUCUUCCAAAUCUGUAUCUCACAGAAAUAAAGCAUAUAGAGAACAGAAUAUGUAGGCUAUAAUGUGAAAGUACUGAAUCAGAUUUCUGAAAUAUAAUUUCUCUAACUUAAAAAAAAUGUCAGCCUAGAAGUUAUAUACACAAAUUUUUUUAAACCCAAAAUGGAAAAACUGUAGCCAAAAAGGAAAAUACUGAAAAAUGUAGGUGCAGAAGAAUAAACAGGCACAGAAAUGAUAAAAAUAGAAACAGAUUUUAAAUUGUAAAAAUAGAACCUAUUACCUCCUUACCGUUUAGCAAAGUGGCAAAAUGUUCAUGUCAUAACCUAAACUCGCAGGAAAAAGUACAGAUUUAAAAACUCAUCAAAUCCAAACUCCCUGAAGAAUUACCUGUGUUUCUGGGGGUGUUUUUUGUCUUGACAGACUUCAACAAAGAUAACAAGAAGAUGAUAUAACCAAUGUUCUAACCAACAUGAAAGAGCUGUGAAGACAGGGCAACUUUAAGCUAAGAAGAUCACGCAAGAUUAAGGUGCAGGAUAGACACAGAUGAUUCUGCAUGUUAAGGUACUGCAGCUUAUAUUUAGUGAAAAGAGGAAAAUAUCCUAGAACUUGCUUGCUUAAGGCAUUACUCCUGAUUAACAUCAAGAAGAAGGUCUAAAAUGAAGAAACCAGGCCAGUGCUUUGUUGCUCUAAUAAUGGUAGACUAUCUCAUUGUGCAUAAUGGCUAUUAAACAAAUGGACUAUGCUCAUUUUGCAUAAUGACUAUUAUGAUUAUUACUAAAAGACUGCAGGGAUUCAAUACUGAUCACUGUGAACAAGUAUGGCUGGUCCUUAAAUUGAUUUAUUUCACGUACAUCAUUUCUUCACAGCUGUAAUAAUUUCAUGCAAGCAACAGCAAGCUCCAUGAUAUUGCAGUCAUCAUGAAUUCUCUUAAAGAGUCAAGGAAUGUAGUGUCCAGGCUAUUUUCAGUAAAUAUACAGUAUUUUUAUCAGCAGUGACAAAUGUUAAAGGAAAGAGGAAAAUAAGGGGUCUGGCAUCAGUAUUAAGAUGGUGCCAAUUUUGUCACAUUACUGCCAAUUAAAAUAUUUUCCCAUAAAUUUUAAGUACUUGCAACAUUUUUACAUUCUCUUUUAACUGUUCUUUUUUGUGUUAUAUCACAUCAUAUUAUGCUAUUUGUCUCAGUAACAUCCUGCAGAGGUGAACUCAACUGUGCAGUUAAUCUGAACUGAUACAGACAUUUAUUUACUUGGUCCACAUGCACAAAAACUGUGCAUGUCCUGAAACAUCCCUGUUUUUCCAACAGUGUUAGACUGAUCAAAAAAACAAAAACCAAAAAACCUGUAAUUUUGACACAGCAGCUGAAUUUUAAAUGCUGCUUUAUAGUGUCUUUAAUCAUCUAAUUGUCUUGAGGAAUACAAGAAAUGUGUGCUGGGCAUUGUGUCUUUCUCAAUGCUCCUUGUCAAUUAAUAAGCUUUGCCAUGAGAUAGCUCUGCUCUCAUUGACUCCACUGGGGGGAAUCCAAACUUAUGUGUCUCCUCCACAAAUUGUACCAUACAAGUCUUUUCAAUGUCUCUUCUCCAGAAAUGAAUUUUCUCCCACAUCCUAUAUCUUCCCAUGUUUGUUCUCCCUUCUUGUACCUCCAAUUGUGCCCUUUUUGGCGUGGGAUGGGAAAGUGAGUUUAGGAGUCUGAUUAUUCUAAAUUUAAAAAAAAUGUAUUAUGAACCAGUUUUAUUUUCAAUAGCCUAGUCUUGGUUAUUCAAUCUCCAGUAAAGAUAUUCUCCCAAGGAAUCAUACUGAAAAAAUAGUUCUGGGCAUUCUGUUGCUUCCAGCUGACCUUUGUGUGCCUUAUAAGAAGUAUUCAUAUUUUCCUAGGCAGAACUUCUUUCAAAGACAUGCUGGAAACGGUGAUGCCAUAAAUCUGUGUCAAGCCCAGAUGUGCAGGUCUCUGGUGCCUAAAAGUCAUCCCAGCAUAUUUUGAUAAAUGCUCCCAUGGUUUGUUUAGGCAGUUUAAAGUAAUGUGUGUAUAUUAAAAAAAGUCACUCCAUGUACACCUGGUAAAUAUGUGAUGUAUUAACUGUACAUAAAAGGCACAGAGGUGAGGGCCAGAGGCUGUGGCUCAAACAUUGGUUGAGAAUUUUGCUCACAGGUCAUAAAAAGAGUAACAAGGAGAGUCUCCCUCUGUUUGAGCUUGCAGGAUUCAAGCUAUCAAUGUACAUCCCUUUAUAAGCAUGUGUACCCCCCACAACAGCUUUGGAACAGCUGAGCACUGAACAAAAUUGCAGAUUUCAUUAUUCUUCUGUUUAUCAUUAUCUCCAAAGAAAUGUAUCUUUCUUACUACAUAAAACAUUCAUAGUUUAGAACUUUUUGCUAACACAGGUGCUUAAUGUUGAAAACAGGAUUGUGGGUUUUUUCAGCCAGAACGAUAACAUUUAAACAGAUACACAUAUAUAGUUCCUUUAUUCCUUCUGGCUAAUUUUUCUAUUACUCGCAUUCCAGGUGUUUGUUUCCUGUAUUUUCAGGUGCUUAAUUUGGUACUCCUCUUCUUGAUACCACUCUGGUCUUUUCGGUCACUUUCUGCCUUUUUAUGCUUUUCUCCACUGCAUUUUUGGACCUGUCUAAAACCCAGUCUCUUAUGACAUUAUCAUUUGCUUUCACCAUUGUCAACAGGGCAAUUUCUUUCAGUACUGUAGGUCAUUAAAAUUUGCAGCUUUUUUCUAAAUUUCCUGCCAUUCCUUUAUUUCCUUUCCCCCUUAAUAAUAUGAUAUAAAACUGUUCUUCAUUAUCUUUUUUAAUAUAAUCCCUGUUAACAAAAUCACUUUUUAAUUUUAGUCAGACCCUGGUCCACUCAUUCCUCUUUCAAAAAUUAAAAUAAAUUAAAUAAGUAAAGGUAUGACUACUUAUUUACAAAAUUCCUCCCAGGAAAAAUUAUAAUUAUACAAUUAUACAAUAUAACUGUACCAUAAACAAGCAUCCUCAUCCUAAUAUUCAGAAUCUUCUAAGAGAAAUUAAUAUAAUGUGUUUAUUAAGUGUUUAAACAAAUAAUCAUACAAACCAAUAUAGUAUCAUCAAGUGCUGUCAUUCUUGGAUGCCUGAAUUAAACUGGUUAUACACCUUACACAGUAUGAAAAAACACUUUUGAAGAGACACAAAGAAUUUGAGAAUAGUUGCUUGAAAUCAAAAUUAUCAAAAUCUAGGCUUUACUGGGAUUAAUUAUUUGGGAUUACACUAAGGUCAACUAUAAAUUCUGACUAAAAGAAGCAAUUGGUCUAAGAGUGGAAGGCAGACACUACUAUUUUUACAGUGCUCAUAGUAAUAUUGUGACACUGAGCCCUGCUACAAAUGGGAGCUGUGCAGCAUGACAUUUUCCUAGGAAAGAAAAUGCAGCAGUAAACAUCAUUAGUCAAGCAAGACCUACACGUCAUAAGCAAUAGGCAAGAGUCCAGGAAGGCCACAAGGUUAAAAUGCUUUGUUUGAGUAAUUAUAGGAUUUGAAGGAUUAGGCUGAACCAAAGGAUUUAAGGACAUGGAAGGAUUAAAGGGAGAAAUAAAUAAAUUAAAUUAAAAAGAAUGAAGGUAUAGACAGCAGCACAAAAAGUGAUAUCACAGUCACUAAUUUUUGAAACAAGAAUUGUUAAAUAAAAUAGAUGUAAUUGCAUGCAACAUGAUUUUGCUGUAUUUGUUUGCUAGUCAUUAGCUGAGUCUGCAGAGACAAAGAUUCUUUCCAAAAGAGCUGUAUGUUUCUGAGAUUGAAGAUCUAGCAGAAAAACCAUGUAUUUGAGGUGAGAUGUCUCAGCCAACUUCUUUGUACCCCAGAAUGUAUUCCAUGGCUUCUGUGAAAGUGAAAUCCUGGAGUACAAACCAUAGGCGAGAUCACAGCCACUCCAGCCUGUUACUGAAAUCUGAAAGUUCUUGCCAUACACCCGCAAAAAAGAAUUCCAAUCUUUACCUUAUGCUACCCUAAGUUACAACAUUUUACAAAGCCAAGUUUGUUUAAAAGCCUACUUCCCUCGUGAACUGUUAAUAGUGAGAAUUAAUUCAGAGUUUGUUUCUUGAAU